GAUGAACGCUGGCGGCGUGCCUAAUACAUGCAAGUCGAGCGAACGGACGAGAAGCUUGCUUCUCUGAUGUUAGCGGCGGACGGGUGAGUAACACGUGGAUAACCUACCUAUAAGACUGGGAUAACUUCGGGAAACCGGAGCUAAUACCGGAUAAUAUUUUGAACCGCAUGGUUCAAAAGUGAAAGACGGUCUUGCUGUCACUUAUAGAUGGAUCCGCGCUGCAUUAGCUAGUUGGUAAGGUAACGGCUUACCAAGGCAACGACGCAUAGCCGACCUGAGAGGGUGAUCGGCCACACUGGAACUGAGACACGGUCCAGACUCCUACGGGAGGCAGCAGUAGGGAAUCUUCCGCAAUGGGCGAAAGCCUGACGGAGCAACGCCGCGUGAGUGAUGAAGGUCUUCGGAUCGUAAAACUCUGUUAUUAGGGAAGAACAUAUGUGUAAGUAACUGUGCACAUCUUGACGGUACCUAAUCAGAAAGCCACGGCUAACUACGUG
This 497-nucleotide ribosomal RNA is filed under the name uncultured bacterium. RNAcentral's name for it is "partial 16S ribosomal RNA". It matches the Rfam family "Bacterial small subunit ribosomal RNA", at positions 28 to 507 of the family's 1533-position model. The record is from RNAcentral.